GAAGUGCGAUAAGCAGUGCGAAUUGCAGAACAGUGAGUCAUCAGAUUUUUGAACGCAACUUGCGCCGUGUGGGUUCGCUCACCGGCACGCCUGGUCCAGUGUCUUAUUUUCUCAUCACCCAAAUCAUCAUGUGAGAGAUACCCUUCUCUUACUAAACAUGAAAGCACUCUGCACUCUGCGAGCGACUCUCGGGUCGCACUCAAUGCAGCAGUCACAUUUCUCAAAAUGUGAACUCAUUGAGAGCGGAGUCAGCGCAGUUAACGCUGCAAGUGUUUAGAAACACCAACUUUGGAAUUGUAUCUGGGCUCAGGUGGGACUACCCGCUGAACUUAA
This 333-nucleotide unclassified non-coding RNA is filed under the name uncultured fungus. RNAcentral describes it as "sequence contains ITS1". The stretch from base 1 to 104 matches the Rfam family "5.8S ribosomal RNA", at positions 50 to 154 of the family's 154-position model. Lineage: Eukaryota; Fungi. The record is from RNAcentral.